GAUGAACGCUGGCGGCGUGCUUAACACAUGCAAGUCGAACGGAAAGGCCCUGCUUUUGUGGGGUGCUCGAGUGGCGAACGGGUGAGUAACACGUGAGUAACCUGCCCUUGACUUUGGGAUAACUUCAGGAAACUGGGGCUAAUACCGGAUAGGAGCUCCUGCUGCAUGGUGGGGGUUGGAAAGUUUCGGCGGUUGGGGAUGGACUCGCGGCUUAUCAGCUUGUUGGUGGGGUAGUGGCUUACCAAGGCUUUGACGGGUAGCCGGCCUGAGAGGGUGACCGGCCACAUUGGGACUGAGAUACGGCCCAGACUCCUACGGGAGGCAGCAGUGGGGAAUAUUGCACAAUGGGCGGAAGCCUGAUGCAGCAACGCCGCGUGCGGGAUGACGGCCUUCGGGUUGUAAACCGCUUUCGCCUGUGACGAAGCGUGAGUGACGGUAAUGGGUAAAGAAGCACCGGCUAACUACGAG
This 468-nucleotide ribosomal RNA is filed under the name uncultured bacterium. RNAcentral describes it as "partial 16S ribosomal RNA". It matches the Rfam family "Bacterial small subunit ribosomal RNA", at positions 28 to 507 of the family's 1533-position model. The record is from RNAcentral.